This 253-nucleotide ribosomal RNA is filed under the name uncultured bacterium. RNAcentral's name for it is "partial 16S ribosomal RNA". It matches the Rfam family "Bacterial small subunit ribosomal RNA", at positions 524 to 776 of the family's 1533-position model. The record is from RNAcentral.
UACGUAGGGGGCUAGCGCUGUCCGGAAUCAUUGGGCGUAAAGCGCGUGUAGGCGGUCCGGUGAGUCCGCUGUGAAAGUCGGGGGCUCAACCCUCGGAUGCCGGUGGAUACUGUCGGGCUUGAGUACGGAAGAGGCGAGUGGAAUUCCUGGUGUAGCGGUGAAAUGCGCAGAUAUCAGGAGGAACACCAAUUGCGAAGGCAGCUCGCUGGGACGUUACUGACGCUGAGACGCGAAAGCGUGGGGAGCAAACAGG